This 1132-nucleotide ribosomal RNA is filed under the name Lactobacillus crispatus. RNAcentral's name for it is "bacterial SSU rRNA". It matches the Rfam family "Bacterial small subunit ribosomal RNA", at positions 172 to 1290 of the family's 1533-position model. The record is from RNAcentral. Lineage: Bacteria; Bacillati; Bacillota; Bacilli; Lactobacillales; Lactobacillaceae.
GAUAAGAAAGCAGAUCGCAUGAUCAGCUUUUAAAAGGCGGCGUAAGCUGUCGCUAUGGGAUGGCCCCGCGGUGCAUUAGCUAGUUGGUAAGGUAAAGGCUUACCAAGGCGAUGAUGCAUAGCCGAGUUGAGAGACUGAUCGGCCACAUUGGGACUNAGACACGGCCCAAACUCCUACGGGAGGCAGCAGUAGGGAAUCUUCCACAAUGGACGCAAGUCUGAUGGAGCAACGCCGCGUGAGUGAAGAAGGUUUUCGGAUCGUAAAGCUCUGUUGUUGGUGAAGAAGGAUAGAGGUAGUAACUGGCCUUUAUUUGACGGUAAUCAACCAGAAAGUCACGGCUAACUACGUGCCAGCAGCCGCGGUAAUACGUAGGUGGCAAGCGUUGUCCGGAUUUAUUGGGCGUAAAGCGAGCGCAGGCGGAAGAAUAAGUCUGAUGUGAAAGCCCUCGGCUUAACCGAGGAACUGCAUCGGAAACUGUUUUUCUUGAGUGCAGAAGAGGAGAGUGGAACUCCAUGUGUAGCGGUGGAAUGCGUAGAUAUAUGGAAGAACACCAGUGGCGAAGGCGGCUCUCUGGUCUGCAACUGACGCUGAGGCUCGAAAGCAUGGGUAGCGAACAGGAUUAGAUACCCUGGUAGUCCAUGCCGUAAACGAUGAGUGCUAAGUGUUGGGAGGUUUCCGCCUCUCAGUGCUGCAGCUAACGCAUUAAGCACUCCGCCUGGGGAGUACGACCGCAAGGUUGAAACUCAAAGGAAUUGACGGGGGCCCGCACAAGCGGUGGAGCAUGUGGUUUAAUUCGAAGCAACGCGAAGAACCUUACCAGGUCUUGACAUCUAGUGCCAUUUGUAGAGAUACAAAGUUCCCUUCGGGGACGCUAAGACAGGUGGUGCAUGGCUGUCGUCAGCUCGUGUCGUGAGAUGUUGGGUUAAGUCCCGCAACGAGCGCAACCCUUGUUAUUAGUUGCCAGCAUUAAGUUGGGCACUCUAAUGAGACUGCCGGUGACAAACCGGAGGAAGGUGGGGAUGACGUCAAGUCAUCAUGCCCCUUAUGACCUGGGCUACACACGUGCUACAAUGGGCAGUACAACGAGAAUGCGAGCCUGCGAAGGCAAGCGAAUCUCUGAAAGCUGUUCUCU